RNAcentral lists this long non-coding RNA (428 nucleotides) under Monodelphis domestica (gray short-tailed opossum). RNAcentral's name for it is "lncRNA (ENSMODG00000041871.1)". The record is from RNAcentral. Lineage: Eukaryota; Metazoa; Chordata; Mammalia; Didelphimorphia; Didelphidae.
UAAUCCACAUCAGGAACAUGAUAUAACAAAUGGGCCAUUAUUCAACAUUUUCCCCAUCCAAAUUUGCUAUUUGCUAGCACUUCUGUAUCUCUAUUAUAAAUUAUCGAUGUUACUAAUAUGCCUAUAAUUCUAUUCACCUUUACACUGAAUAUCAAGACAUCUCAAGUUCAGUCUCAUCCAUAAAGCCUUCCCAGUGAUAUUGGAAGGAUCCUGCCCCCACAAAAUCCCCCCAAAAAGAGGUGAGGACUCUUCAAGAAUCCAUAGGGAAGCUGAGUUUACAGAAUCUGGACUCCUAAAUAUUUGAAUACAAAGGGCCUCUCUUUCAUCUCUAGGUACCAUCAUUCACCUGGUCACAAUUAGUAGCCUCGAUGGAACUGACAAACCUGUCAAGGACUUACCAUGAAAUCUUAACACCUUAAGCACAAAGG